CUUGUUUACUGUUUAUUUAAAGAACAUAUUUUAAUUCUGAAUUUUACAGUUUUGUAUGGAAGUAUGAUACAUGCAAGAGGAAAUGUUAUGGGGAAAAAAAUAAGCUCCAAGAGAUUUGAGUAACUCAUAGAUCCUCUGUGUGCCAGUGUGUACCUCCUUGCAGCAUCUGGACUGGUGUAAAUCGUGAGCUGUGCUGCAAUACUUUCUCCAUUCCAAAACCAGUAAAAGUCAACAGUUCCCAUAAGGAAUCCUUAAAGCAUUUUACAAACUGUGUAGCACAUAAUACGAUUUUGAAAGGAAAAAAAGAAGGAAAAUAUUCCUGGCUGCAGUUGGUGAGAGUUGAGGAUGUGUCAAUGGCAAAGUGCAACACAACUGUACAAGAACUGAAAUUGGAGGGGCAAUGGUGUAUUACUAAAGAUGACACAUAUUUGACUGAAAAGUAGUUGCAAUAAUGUGAAGUUUUUCUGGAAAGUCAUGAAUACCUUAUGUGAGUGGAAAUGCGUUCAGUUGCCUGUUGCUCCACAGCCAUUAAUCU
This 535-nucleotide long non-coding RNA is filed under the name Anser brachyrhynchus (Pink-footed goose). RNAcentral describes it as "lncRNA (ENSABRG00000022021.1)". The record is from RNAcentral. Lineage: Eukaryota; Metazoa; Chordata; Aves; Anseriformes; Anatidae.